This 87-nucleotide small nucleolar RNA is filed under the name Theobroma cacao (cacao). RNAcentral describes it as "Small nucleolar RNA snoR53Y". It matches the Rfam family "Small nucleolar RNA snoR53Y". Lineage: Eukaryota; Viridiplantae; Streptophyta; Magnoliopsida; Malvales; Malvaceae. The record is from Rfam by way of RNAcentral.
GUUCCCAAUGAUGGUUAAAAUUAUAUAACCAUGCUAAUGCUGAUAAUCCAAUGAUUAAAUCAUUCAUUUAUAAAUUCUGAGGGAACU